This 1257-nucleotide ribosomal RNA is filed under the name Bacillus subtilis. RNAcentral describes it as "bacterial SSU rRNA". It matches the Rfam family "Bacterial small subunit ribosomal RNA", at positions 54 to 1299 of the family's 1533-position model. The record is from RNAcentral. Lineage: Bacteria; Bacillati; Bacillota; Bacilli; Caryophanales; Bacillaceae.
CAUGCAGUCGAGCGGACAGAUGGGAGCUUGCUCCCUGAUGUUAGCGGCGGACGGGUGAGUAACACGUGGGUAACCUGCCUGUAAGACUGGGAUAACUCCGGGAAACCGGGGCUAAUACCGGAUGGUUGUUUGAACCGCAUGGUUCAGACAUAAAAGGUGGCUUCGGCUACCACUUACAGAUGGACCCGCGGCGCAUUAGCUAGUUGGUGAGGUAACGGCUCACCAAGGCGACGAUGCGUAGCCGACCUGAGAGGGUGAUCGGCCACACUGGGACUGAGACACGGCCCAGACUCCUACGGGAGGCAGCAGUAGGGAAUCUUCCGCAAUGGACGAAAGUCUGACGGAGCAACGCCGCGUGAGUGAUGAAGGUUUUCGGAUCGUAAAGCUCUGUUGUUAGGGAAGAACAAGUGCCGUUCAAAUAGGGCGGCACCUUGACGGUACCUAACCAGAAAGCCACGGCUAACUACGUGCCAGCAGCCGCGGUAAUACGUAGGUGGCAAGCGUUGUCCGGAAUUAUUGGGCGUAAAGGGCUCGCAGGCGGUUUCUUAAGUCUGAUGUGAAAGCCCCCGGCUCAACCGGGGAGGGUCAUUGGAAACUGGGGAACUUGAGUGCAGAAGAGGAGAGUGGAAUUCCACGUGUAGCGGUGAAAUGCGUAGAGAUGUGGAGGAACACCAGUGGCGAAGGCGACUCUCUGGUCUGUAACUGACGCUGAGGAGCGAAAGCGUGGGGAGCGAACAGGAUUAGAUACCCUGGUAGUCCACGCCGUAAACGAUGAGUGCUAAGUGUUAGGGGGUUUCCGCCCCUUAGUGCUGCAGCUAACGCAUUAAGCACUCCGCCUGGGGAGUACGGUCGCAAGACUGAAACUCAAAGGAAUUGACGGGGGCCCGCACAAGCGGUGGAGCAUGUGGUUUAAUUCGAAGCAACGCGAAGAACCUUACCAGGUCUUGACAUCCUCUGACAAUCCUAGAGAUAGGACGUCCCCUUCGGGGGCAGAGUGACAGGUGGUGCAUGGUUGUCGUCAGCUCGUGUCGUGAGAUGUUGGGUUAAGUCCCGCAACGAGCGCAACCCUUGAUCUUAGUUGCCAGCAUUCAGUUGGGCACUCUAAGGUGACUGCCGGUGACAAACCGGAAGAAAGGUGGGGAUGACGUCAAAUCAUCAUGCCCCUUAUGACCUGGGCUACACACGUGCUCAUGGACAGAACAAAGGGCAGCGAAACCGCGAGGUUAACCAAUCCAAAAUCUGUUCUCAGUUCGGAUC